AAAGUUAAGGUGUAAAUAGUGUUGUCCGUGAUAGAAGAAAAAUCAGAGACUCCGUCGCGGGGAUUUGAACCCGGGUUCCGAACGUUCGUAAUCUAAGGCGCUAACCACUACGCUGCCGUCGUUCGACUCUACCGCUCAAGACAUCAAUUCGUUGGCGUGCAAACAGCGAAUCGAAUUCCGAGUUCGAGGACGGAGAAGAUGAAAACUGUCGAAAUAUUCGCACAUGCCUGCUCAUAACUUAAUGGAGUUGACAAGUCGUCGACGAGGAUGAUGGACUGCGCUAGAUCCAGGGGAUUCCUGCAACCCCAACGCGGGGCUAAAAACGGAUUCGCCACGGGCAGCUGCGGCGACGCGACUCCUCUCGCCUUCUAGCUCAUUUUCCUCCUCCUUAUUUUUCGGGGGAAAUCAACUCUCUCACUUUCUCUCUCGUCCGUGUAAUCGGUUUUUCUGUUGUGUCACUUGAACAUGGCAGCCUUUGUGCACACGCGUGUUUUACACGAGGUCCGUGUCCAGAAUUAUGCACGGGACGACCCCUCGUCGGAACUUCGAGAAGCGAAAACCACUUUAUUAUACGCCCGUCGAAAUUUUCAUUCAUACUCGUUUUACUUCGUCAUGGUUCCUUAAUACCGUUCGAUGCUGAAAUAUAAACGCGAACGUGCGUAACUUAUGCGUAAUAGGUUCAUUGUUUAGUCUACAGAAUCUUCCUUGAGUGAAAAGUUAGUCAGAUGUUUAGUAGAUGAUAAUGGUGAUGAUAGAUAGAUAGACUUAUAUAAUUUUUUUAACCUUACUUCGAUUACUCAAAGCAUCAGUAUAGUAUCGUGAGAUAGAGACAAACUGUAUUAAAUUAGUGGAACUACCUUUAUGGAAUCUGGUAAGCGAUGGUUUUCACGUGUUCAAUUAUUUUUUGGUUUGAUAAAUGAUGUCAUAACGUAUAACAGUGAUAUUAAAAAAUAAAGAUGAUUUAUAUAGAUAGUGAACAAAAAUUGAACGUGCUUUAUAAUUUCAGGAAGAGGAAAUUUAGAUCGACCGAUAUGGAAAUGAAUUUUGGAAAAUUUAUAUCCGAUGGUAAUAUAUUGUUGUCUUAGUUACAGUUGAUAAAGUAGAAAAUGCUAUAUAAGUACGCUCACCUGAUAUGCAUUUUAUUCUAAUGGUUAUUUUAAUGUCAUUCCCAACGUUACCGAUGCAGCAAAGAAUAAGAUUAGAAUAUCAGUAGCGGUUGGAAUUAAAACUAAAUUUUACGUAUCAAACUAUGAAUAAAGUAGAUGGUAUAGAUAAAGAGAAAGGAUAGAUAAGGAUUAUCAAGUAUUCAUAAGUAGCCGAUGUAACAAUUAUCUUUCUACUAAUACUACUAAUUUAUUAAUCUUUCCACUUCGCUACUUUUUGUUCUUACUGCUUUUGUAUGCGAAAGAAGAAAUAACUGUUAAAUACAGUUUCCAGGCUUAGGUCUACUGCAA
This is a long non-coding RNA of Bombus huntii, 1454 nucleotides long. RefSeq lists it as uncharacterized. Lineage: Eukaryota; Metazoa; Arthropoda; Insecta; Hymenoptera; Apidae. The record is from RefSeq and is a predicted model, not a curated record. The transcript is spliced from 2 exons.